RNAcentral lists this ribosomal RNA (158 nucleotides) under Roccellina limitata. RNAcentral's name for it is "5.8S ribosomal RNA". It matches the Rfam family "5.8S ribosomal RNA". Rfam says of the family: 5.8S ribosomal RNA (5.8S rRNA) is a component of the large subunit of the eukaryotic ribosome. The record is from RNAcentral. Lineage: Eukaryota; Fungi; Ascomycota; Arthoniomycetes; Arthoniales; Roccellaceae.
ACUUUCAACAACGGAUCUCUUGGUUCUGGCAUCGAUGAAGAACGCAGCGAAAUGCGAUAAGUAAUGUGAAUUGCAGAAUUCAGUGAAUCAUCGAAUCUUUGAACGCACCUUGCGCCCUCCGGUAUUCCGGUGGGCAUGCCUGUUCGAGCGUCAUUUAA